UACGUAGGGUGCAAACGUUGCUCGGAAUCAUUGGGCGUAAAGCGCACGUAGGCGGUCCAGCAAGUCGGGCGUGAAAGCCCUCGGCUUAACCGAGGAAGUGCAUUCGAAACUACUGGACUUGAAUACUGAAGAGGAUCGCGGAAUUCCCGGUGUAGAGGUGAAAUUCGUAGAUAUCGGGAGGAACACCAGUGGCGAAGGCGGCUUCCUGGCCUGUUCUUGACGCUGAGGCGCGAAAGCUAGGGGAGCAAACGGG
This 253-nucleotide ribosomal RNA is filed under the name uncultured bacterium. RNAcentral's name for it is "partial 16S ribosomal RNA". It matches the Rfam family "Bacterial small subunit ribosomal RNA", at positions 524 to 776 of the family's 1533-position model. The record is from RNAcentral.